AGGCGAAACCCCUUCGGGGGUCCGGGGUGGGUGGCAUCCCCCCGCUGAUGAGCCUGCCGAAC
Molecule: non-coding RNA, 62 nt
Filed under: Streptomyces olivochromogenes
Lineage: Bacteria; Bacillati; Actinomycetota; Actinomycetes; Kitasatosporales; Streptomycetaceae
Also listed under: 3 other names
Source: RNAcentral